UACGUAGGCAGCGAGCGUUGUUCGGAGUUACUGGGCGUAAAGGGUGUGUAGGCGGUUGUUUAAGUUUGGUGUGAAAUCUCCCGGCUCAACCGGGAGGGUGCGCCGAAUACUGAAUGACUAGAGUGUGGGAGAGGUGAGUGGAAUUCCUGGUGUAGCGGUGAAAUGCGUAGAUAUCAGGAGGAACACCGGUGGUGUAGACGGCUCACUGGACCAUAACUGACGCUGAGACACGAAAGCGUGGGUAGCAAACAGG
Molecule: ribosomal RNA, 253 nt
Filed under: Acidobacterium sp.
Lineage: Bacteria; Pseudomonadati; Acidobacteriota; Terriglobia; Terriglobales; Acidobacteriaceae
Also listed under: 1 other name
Description: partial 16S ribosomal RNA
Rfam family: Bacterial small subunit ribosomal RNA
Source: RNAcentral